ACUAAGUCUUGGGACACACACACACACACACACACACACACACACACACACACACAUUGUAUUACAAGUAGUUAGGAAAUGCUGUUGUGUUGGUGUCUGCAUCUUUAACUUGGAGGUUAAUACAAAGCCAUCUCUGAGUCCUGGGACUAGGCCCUUCUCUCUGAGUGCUGGGACUAGGUAGGCCCUUCUCUCUGAGUGCUGGGACUGGGCCCUUCUCUCUGAGUGCUGGGACUGGGCCCUUCUCUCUGAGUGCUGGGACUAGGCCCUUCUCUCUGAGUGCUAGGUCUAGGCCCUUUCUGAGUGCUGGGACUAGGCCCUUCUCUCUGAGUGAGUGCUGGGACUAGGCCCUUCUCUCUGAGUGCUGGGACUAGGCCCUUCUCUCUGAGUGCUGAGACUGGGCCCUUCUCUCUGAGUGAGUGCUGGGACUAGGCCCUUCUCUCUGAGUGAGUCCUGGGACUAGGCCCUUCUCUCUGAGUGAGUGCUGGGACUAGGCCCUUCUCUCUGAGUGAGUGCUGGGACUAGGCCCUUCUCUCUGAGUGAGUGCUGGGACUAGGCCCUUCUCUCUGAGUGAGUGCUGGGACUAGGCCCUUCUCUCUGAGUCCUGGGACUAGGUAGGCCCUUCUCUCUGAGUGCUGGGACUAGGCCCUUCUCUCUGAGUGAGUGCUGGGACUAGGCCCUUCUCUCUGAGUCCUGGGACUAGGUAGGCCCUUCUCUCUGAGUGCUGGGACUAGGCCCUUCUCUCUGAGUGAGUCCUGGAACUAGGCCCUUCUCUCUGAGUGAGUGCUGGGUCUAGGCCCUUCUCUCUGAGUGAGUGCUGGGACUAGGCCCUUCUCUCUGAGUGAGUGCUGGAACUAGGCCCUUCUCUCUGAGUCCUGGGACUAGGUAGGCCCUUCUCUCUGAGUGCUGGGACUGGGCCCUUCUCUCUGAGUGAGUGCUGGAACUAGGCCCUUCUCUCUGAGUGCUGGGACUAGGCCCUUCUCUCUGAGUGAGUGCUGGGACUAGGCCCUUCUCUCUGAGUGAGUGCUGGAACUAGGCCCUUCUCUCUGAGUCCUGGGACUAGGCCCUUCGCUUCAGGAGCAUUCACGGAGAAGGGCUGAGGAAAGGAAGGGGAAUGUGUCUGCCCCCCCCCCCUGCGUCCCCCAGAGGACAGUGCUUAGAGCACUGCUGUUUGUGUGCAUUAGGAGCAGGGUUGGGUUUACUGACGGUUCAGCCUUGGUUCUAACCUCAUUUCUGUUGCGCUAAUCAAAUGUUUAUGAAUCCUUAUAUUUUAGUUAUUCUUUGGCAAAAAUCUGGAGAUUUUUUUUCAUAAAA
Molecule: long non-coding RNA, 1311 nt
Organism: Mus musculus (house mouse)
Lineage: Eukaryota; Metazoa; Chordata; Mammalia; Rodentia; Muridae
Product: predicted gene, 40782
Exons: 2
Source: RefSeq, a predicted model, not a curated record